Long non-coding RNA from Entelurus aequoreus (snake pipefish), 704 nucleotides. RefSeq lists it as uncharacterized. The transcript is spliced from 4 exons. The record is from RefSeq and is a predicted model, not a curated record. Lineage: Eukaryota; Metazoa; Chordata; Actinopteri; Syngnathiformes; Syngnathidae.
AAAAAUGUCAAAGUAGGAUGUGGGUUAGUUAGUUUAAACUAUCGAUUUGAUAUAUUUGCCCUAAAUAUGCGCACAUAUUAUUGUGUACGCUAGAAACUGAGGGUGUGUUUGUUUAUAACACCUGCAUAGCUUACAAGCAAAUCAUGUGUACACCUAGCAUUAUAAACCAGCAUGAACUGUUCAUUCGGUGUUUAAAACAAACAUCCCUUUAAUUAAACCCAGAAAAUGGCGCCAGUUUAACUGUAGUGACGGCUGUUAGAUAGUGAAACAUUUACAAACAUGCAAUGGUAAAGUAUCUUUCAGCUGCCACUGUUUGACAACGUGAAAACGAACGACUUCUUCCCAACGAAGAAACCCAUUGAAUUGACAUCAAGCUGAUUAACCGCAUGGAUCUGACAUUUACUGACCAUGGACAAAGUGGACUAUUUGUGGACCUGCAGACCAAUGUGGCUGGUUUUAAUCAUUCUGGCUUUGCAUUGCUGUGAGAGUCCUGCAACUCCUCUUGGAAAGAUGUAUCCACACAGUUGGCACUGGGCAGUUGGGCAUUUGAUGGGAAAAAAGAGCAUUAAAAGGCCGCCAAGGCUUGAAUCUACAAGCCAGGACUAUACCUCAUACCCUUCAAAGGAACACCUGGACACUCAGACCUUUACCAAGUUUUACACGAUUGCCAAAACUAACAAUUCCACAUAAUAAAAUGUCACAGC